RNAcentral lists this ribosomal RNA (1212 nucleotides) under Triticum aestivum (bread wheat). Its description in RNAcentral is "partial small subunit ribosomal RNA". Lineage: Eukaryota; Viridiplantae; Streptophyta; Magnoliopsida; Poales; Poaceae. The record is from RNAcentral.
AUGGAGCCCGUGUUCUUCUCACUGGAGGAGGCGAUGCGCGAGCCCGACCCUAACCCCUGCCGGACCUCGUCGCCGCCGCUGGAGGCACACGUGCUCGCCGGAGGACUCGGAGGAGUGGGCGCCGGCAAGGUCGUCGGCGGUGGCGCGACAGAAUGGUGCUUCCACGAGUCCGUGGACGAGCCGUGGCUGCUCAACGUCCCCACCGCGCCAGUGGCGAACCCCGAAGCUUCGACGCUUUACCCUAAUCCCACGGCCGAGGGGAGCCGCAAGAGGCGGCACGACGUCCAUGAGAUGGUGGGCGCGGUGGAGGUCAUCCCCACGCCGCCUGCGGCGAGCCCGGUGGUGGACCCCGUGGCUUACAACGCGAUGCUGAGACGGAAGUUGGACGCGCAUCUCGCCGCCGUCGCCAUGUUAAGGACCACUCCGGGAAUUUGCCGACAAAGCUCCCAUGACAAUGGAGCAUCGCAAAAUCCAGAUUCCAUCCAAGGCUCAGAAAACCACACCGGAGAUGUCAGUGUGCAUCAGCUUAGCUCUUCCUCAUUGGAGCCAUCACCAUCAGAUGGUGAUAUGGAAGGGGAGGCACAAACAAUUGGAACUAUGCAUAUUAGUGCAGAGAAAGCGAAUAAGAGGAAAGAAUCUAACAGGGAUUCGGCAAGACGCUCAAGGAGUAGAAAAGCAGCUCAUACGAAGGAACUAGAGGAGCAGGUCUCACUAUUAAGAGUCGCAAAUAACUCUUUGAUGAGACAUCUUGCAGAUGUAAGUCAAAGAUACGUUAAUAUCUCUAUUGACAAUAGGGUACUCAAGGCAAAUGUUGAAACCCUAGAAGCAAAGGUAAAGAUGGUCGAGGAAACUAUGAAGAGGGUUACAUGCACCAACAAUUUUCCUCAAGCAAUAUCUAGCUCAUCUCUCGGGAUUCCUUUCAGUGGCUCCCCAUUGGAUGGUAUCUGUGAUAAUCCAUUGCCAACCCAGAACACCUCACUUAGCUACCUCCCCACUACAACAACAAAUUUUGUUGUGAAAAACAACUACAUCCCUGAGCCAGCUCCGGCAUUCCAGAUCCAUGAUCAAAUGUCUUCGCUAAAUAUGCAACCUGUGUCAUGCCUGGAUCAUCACCCACAAAGGAUGCACAUAGGUAUUCCUACAUCGACACCUACUCCGCAACGGGAAUCUACUACAUUGGAUUCAAAUGAAAUAGUCAACAUGAUGAUGUAG